Long non-coding RNA from Carya illinoinensis, 3267 nucleotides. RefSeq lists it as uncharacterized. NCBI's taxonomy places the organism in Eukaryota, Viridiplantae, Streptophyta, Magnoliopsida, Fagales, Juglandaceae. The record is from RefSeq and is a predicted model, not a curated record. The transcript has 3 exons.
UCAAAAGAGAAAAAAGAAAAAAAGAAUUGCCUUCUCCCAAUAAUACUCUUUAUCUCUCUCUCUCUCUCGGCAACCUUCGCAACCCGUCUUACCCAAAACUUCAUCCUCCAGACUAUCUCUACCUUCCUUCCCCAAAAGACUUCCAGUUCAGCUCUCUCGUUCGUAUCCUCUCCUCUCCGUCUCCCUUGGUAGCCUGUCCUCUCUCUCUCUACUUUCCUUCCUGCACCCACUUAUCCAUCUCUCCCUUCGUACCCUCUUUCUCUCUCGUUCCCAUGGUCAUUCAGCUUUUAGCAGGAAAAUCUCCCUUUCUCACCCUCUCUCUGGUUUGUGUCCUUUCUCCCAUCGAGGCGAAUCUCUAGCCAUUGUUUCCCCGUAAGCCUUCUCAGGGUCGCGUGCUCCAUGGUCCGUACGUGUGUCAGCUUUAACAAUUUCUCUGCCACAAGAUUGCGGAAGGGUAAGCACAUCUAACCUUUGAUGUCAAUCUCGCCCCUGUUAACCCGUGCCCCUGUGAUCUGCCUCCCUUAUCUCAACCUCGAUUAUAAAUCAAACAUCCACUUCUUGCAAGCGCGAACGCACUGAGUUGGAAAACCCAACAGUUGCAUUGACCAGAUUCAUAAUCACGGGGCCAACGACGCGAUCCUUUAGGAAGGAGUUUGCAGAUAAAGAGUUUGGAGUUUUUUGCUCAGGAGCUUCCUAUACUACUUUCAAGACCAUAUGGAAUGUUUGCCCUAUUCCCAGGCCAAUCGGUGUCGGUCACAAUUUUGCCACUUUGCUCUUGACCAUAAGUUAAUCAAAUGAAGGCAAAAGUUGCAAAGUUAUGAGGUUGAAGUUUGUUGCUCGGGGCGUCCUAUUCUACUUUCACAACCUUAUGGUAUGUAUCCACUGUCCUUAGGCUAAUCAAUGUUGGUCACAAUUUUGUUGCUCUGCUCUUGCACAUUAGCCAACCAAUUGAAGCCAAAGUUGCAAAGCUAUGAUGUUUUCGGGGGCAUCCUAUACUACUUUUGAGAUCGUAUGGUAUGUAUGCCCCAUCCUUAGGCCAAUUGGAGCGAGUCAUAAUUUUCCACUUUGCUUUUGCAUGUAAGCCAACAAAUUGAAGGCAAAGUGGAAAGUUAUGAGGUUCAAGUUUUUUGCUCAGUGGCUUCCUAUGCUACUUUCAAGACCUUAUGGUAUGUUUGCUCCAUGCCUGGGCAAUUGCUACUUGUCACAAUUUUGUCGCUUGCUCUUGCACAAAAGUUAACUAAUUGAAGGGAAAUGUUGCAAAGUUAUGAGGUUGGAAUUUUUUGCUCCAGGCUUCCUAUUCUACUUUCACAAUCUUAUGGUAUGUAUGCACUAUUCCCAAGCCAAUUGGUGCCCGUCACAGUUUAGCUACUUUACUCUUAACACAAAAACCAACCAGUUGAAGGCAAAGUUGAAAAGCUAUAAGGUUGGAGUUUUUUGCUCGGGGGCUUCCUAUACCACUUUCAGGACCUUUUGGUAUGCAUGCCUCGUCCUAGGGCCAAUUGGAGCUGAUCAUAAUUCUGCCACUUUGCUCUGGUGCAUAAGCUAACCAAUUGAAGGCAAAGUUAUGGGCUUUUGGUUUUUUGCUCAGGGGCUUCCUUUACUACUUUCACGACAUUAUGGUGCUUCUUAUACUACUUUCACGACCUUAUGGUAUGUAUGCAUCAUCUCUGGGCCAAUUGGAGCUGGUCAAAAUUUUGCCACUUUACUCUUGCUCAGAAGCUAACUAAUUGAAGGUGAAGGUUCAAAGUUGGCAUUUAGACUGUUGGAUUUGUUAGUGUUGCUCAGGUAUUAUCACGUAGCGCACUCCAUCUCGGACAAAGAAGAAUGAUGGAAAAGUAAUGUAAACUAGGCCUGAAGGAACAAGCUCUCAGCCCCUUUGAAACAAUAUAUUAAAUCUAAUAAAAUAAGGAUAACGCAUGAUCCAUGAAACCCAUCAAGUCCAGCCCAUCUCGCAAGCAGAUGCAACACCAGUUUAACUUAAUUGACCAACUGACAAGAGUUAGUCAAUGCAUACUCUUUUCUUUUCUCUGUCUCAAAACUUUACUUUACAAACUUUCUCUUCCGUACAAAUCUUAGGUAUGAGCUUGUGACAGAAAGAUGAUCAAUACUAGUAUGACACAAGUUAGGACACCCGAAACUAAUAGGUUCAAUCACAUGACAGUAGCGUGUGUUUGGAAUAUGGGUUAUCACCUCCGUUGUAGCCAUGUAAACAAAUGAUAUUGGAAUGAAAACCAGUACAAUUAUAACGUCGACCAUGUUCAAAGGAGAAUUGGAUGAGUUCAUCAUUGGUAAAAGCUUAAGCAGCACCUCAACUAGCUUGUUCAUAAUUCUUAUGAAUAUGGCGGUUUAAUCGUAAUCAAUCCCAUCUUGUUCUCUCGCACUGCCAAAUAAAUAAAAGAGGACAUAAAAAUAAUACUACAAAUACAGACUCAAUUCUGAUUUGUUUGAGAUGAAAAUAAUCAAGAUUGAGCCUAUAUUAGUAGUAUUAUUUUUAUCUCUUAUUUUAUUUGUUAGGCAAUGCAAGAGAACAAGAUGAGAUUGAUUAUGAUUACACUGCCAUAUUCAUAAGAAUUAUGAACAAGCUAGUUGCGAUGCUGCUUAAGCUUCUACUAGUGAUGAACUCAUAUGGUUCUCUUUUGAACAUGGUCGACGUUAUAAUUGUACUGAUUUUCAUUCCAAUAUCAUUUGUUUACAUGGCCACAACGGAUGUGAUAAUCCAUAUUCCAAACACGUGCUAUCAUUAUGUGAUUGAACCCAUCAGUUUUGGGUGUCCUAACUUGUGUCAUACUACUAUUGAUCAUCUUUUUGUCACAAGCUUGGACCUAGGGUUUGUACGGAAGAGCGAGUUUGCGAAGUAAAGUUUUGAAAUAGAGAAAAGAAGAGAGUCUGCAUUGGCUAACUCGUCUGUUGAUCAAUUGUGUUAAACUGGUAUUGCAUCUGCUUGUGAUGGGCUUCAUGGACCAUGCGUUAUCCUUAUUUUAUUAGAUUUAAUAUGUUAUUUCAGAGGGGCCAAAAGCUUGUUCCUUCAGGCCUAGUUUACUUUACUUUUGGACCUGUGUUUUAUUUACUUUGGACUACUUUUAUUUACGUUUGUAUUAGAACUAGACCAUAGCCUCUAUUGCUUAUUCACUACAAGAAAAAUCCAUUUUUGUGGCAAAAAACAAUUGGGGUGGGUAAUUUUUGGAAGCAAGAGAGCACAAUUUAUUGUAGCCGCAUUUUUGUUCUGGUGAUCAAAAAAAUUCACAACAAAAAAGAGCUUUUACAUGA